This 507-nucleotide ribosomal RNA is filed under the name Triticum aestivum (bread wheat). Its description in RNAcentral is "partial small subunit ribosomal RNA". The record is from RNAcentral. Lineage: Eukaryota; Viridiplantae; Streptophyta; Magnoliopsida; Poales; Poaceae.
AUGCGCCUGCUCUGGCGAGCUCCGGCGAGGCGCAGAAGGUGGAGAAGGUGGAGGUGGGCUCUGGCGAGGCGCACAAGGUGGAGAAGGUGGAGGCCGGCUCUGGCGAGUAGCAUGUGGAGCAGGAGGUUAUGUGCUCACUACAAAUCCACGCAGAAGGAGGAUCUUGUGGGCAACAAGAGGAAGUAUGACAUGACUGGGUUCUACCCAUAUGAUAGUGAUGAAGAUGAGCCGUACGAGUAUGAUUCUGGAGAUGAUGUGGUCGAGGGGAAUGUCAAGUCCUUCGAAGAGAAGAUGGUGGAGAAGAUCAGGGCCCAGGGAUCUGGUAUGUACCACAACCCGAAGACGGACAAGUUCCGCUGCCCCUACUGUAGCAGGCCCAAGCCUAGGCCUAGGUUAAUGGAGCAUCUUAUGGAACAUUGUCAGGCUACAGCGAUCAGCGGUGAUGACUACAAGAUCAGGGCGCAGCAUUCUGCCCUCCUGAAGGUCCUGAGAAGCCCUAAAAUGUAG